RNAcentral lists this ribosomal RNA (330 nucleotides) under uncultured eukaryote. RNAcentral's name for it is "partial 18S ribosomal RNA". It matches the Rfam family "Eukaryotic small subunit ribosomal RNA", at positions 1470 to 1796 of the family's 1831-position model. The record is from RNAcentral.
CCCUUAGAUGUUCUGGGCCGCACGCGCACUACACUGAUGAAUUCAACGAGCUCCUAACCUAGGCCGAAGGGUCCGGGUAAUCUUUGAAAUUUCAUCGUGAUGGGGAUAGAUUAUUGCAAUUAUUAAUCUUCAACGAGGAAUUCCUAGUAAGCGCGAGUCAUCAGCUCGCGUUGAUUACGUCCCUGCCCUUUGUACACACCGCCCGUCGCUCCUACCGAUUGAAUGGUCCGGUGAAAUGUUCGGACCGCGACAAGGCGGACGGUUCGCUGUCAGCUUUGCUGCGGGAAGUUCAUUAAACCUUAUCAUUUAGAGGAAGGAGAANUCGUAACA